This 253-nucleotide ribosomal RNA is filed under the name uncultured bacterium. RNAcentral's name for it is "partial 16S ribosomal RNA". It matches the Rfam family "Bacterial small subunit ribosomal RNA", at positions 524 to 776 of the family's 1533-position model. The record is from RNAcentral.
UACAGAGGUCUCGAGCGUUGUUCGGAUUCAUUGGGCGUAAAGGGUGCGUAGGCGGCGAGCUAAGUUUGGUGUGAAAUCCUGGGGCUCAACCCCAGAAAUGCACUGAAUACUGGUUUGCUAGAGGACUGGAGAGGAGAUUGGAAUUCACGGUGUAGCAGUGAAAUGCGUAGAGAUCCGGAAGAACACCGGUGGCGAAGGCGGUGAGCUGGGCAGUUGCUGACACUGAGGCGCGACAGCGUGGGGAGCAAACAGG